AUUACUUUAGCAUAAGAAUGCAUUAAAUUUAGAAUUUAAGGAUAAAUAUUAUAAUUAUAUUUAAGUAAUA
RNAcentral lists this transfer RNA (70 nucleotides) under Eupristina koningsbergeri. Its description in RNAcentral is "tRNA-Leu". The record is from RNAcentral. Lineage: Eukaryota; Metazoa; Arthropoda; Insecta; Hymenoptera; Agaonidae.